RNAcentral lists this ribosomal RNA (253 nucleotides) under uncultured bacterium. Its description in RNAcentral is "partial 16S ribosomal RNA". It matches the Rfam family "Bacterial small subunit ribosomal RNA", at positions 524 to 776 of the family's 1533-position model. The record is from RNAcentral.
UACGUAGGGGGCUAGCGUUGUCCGGAAUCAUUGGGCGUAAAGCGCGUGUAGGCGGUCCGGUAAGUCCGCUGUGAAAGUCGAGGGCUCAACCCUCGAAUGCCGGUGGAUACUGUCGGGCUUGAGUACGGGAGAGGCGAGUGGAAUUCCUGGUGUAGCGGUGGAAUGCGCAGAUAUCAGGAGGAACACCGAUUGCGAAGGCAGCUCGCUGGAACGUUACUGACGCUGAGACGCGAAAGCGUGGGGAGCAAACAGG